UACGUAGGGCGCGAGCGUUGUCCGGAAUUAUUGGGCGUAAAGAGCUCGUAGGCGGCCUGUUGCGUCCGCUGUGAAAUCCCAGGGCUCAACCCUGGGCGUGCAGUGGAUACGGGCAGGCUGGAGGCAGGCAGGGGAGAACGGAAUUCCCGGUGUAGCGGUGAAAUGCGCAGAUAUCGGGAGGAACACCGGUGGCGAAGGCGGCAUCCUGGACCAACACUGACACUGAGGAGCGAAAGCCAGGGGAGCAAACGGG
This 253-nucleotide ribosomal RNA is filed under the name uncultured bacterium. Its description in RNAcentral is "partial 16S ribosomal RNA". It matches the Rfam family "Bacterial small subunit ribosomal RNA", at positions 524 to 776 of the family's 1533-position model. The record is from RNAcentral.